UACGGGAGGCAGCAGUGGGGAAUUUUCCGCAAUGGGCGAAAGCCUGACGGAGUGACGCCGCGUGGGGGACGAAGGCCUUCGGGUUGUAAACCCCUGUCAGAGGGAAAGAAGGGCGCCGGCAUUAAUACCGCCGGCGUCUGACGGUACCUUCAGAGGAAGCCCCGGCCAACUCUGUGCCAGCAGCCGCGGUAAGACAGAGGGGGCAAGCGUUGCUCGGAAUCACUGGGCGUAAAGGGCGCGUAGGCGGGAUGGCAAGUCAGUCGUGAAAUCUCUCGGCUCAACCGAGAAACGUCGGCUGAUACUGCCGUUCUUGAGGGAUGCAGAGGAGACUGGAAUUCCCGGUGUAGCGGUGAAAUGUGUAGAGAUCGGGAGGAACACCGGUGGCGAAGGCGGGUCUCUGGGCAUUUCC
RNAcentral lists this ribosomal RNA (409 nucleotides) under uncultured soil bacterium C068. RNAcentral describes it as "bacterial SSU rRNA". It matches the Rfam family "Bacterial small subunit ribosomal RNA", at positions 340 to 740 of the family's 1533-position model. The record is from RNAcentral.